This 195-nucleotide ribosomal RNA is filed under the name uncultured Acidobacteriota bacterium. RNAcentral's name for it is "uncultured Acidobacteria bacterium partial 16S ribosomal RNA". It matches the Rfam family "Bacterial small subunit ribosomal RNA", at positions 338 to 524 of the family's 1533-position model. Lineage: Bacteria; Pseudomonadati; Acidobacteriota. The record is from RNAcentral.
CCUACGGGAGGCAGCAGUGGGGAAUAUUGCACAAUGGGCGAAAGCCUGAUGCAGCGACGCCGGGUGGAGGAUGAAGGUCUUCGGAUCGUAAACUCCUGUCGAGUGGGACGAACGGCCCGGGGCCCAACACGCCCCGGGAGUGACGGUACCGCUAAAGGAAGCCCCGGCUAACUCCGUGCCAGCAGCCGCGGUAAU